GACGGAGGGUGCAAGCGGUAUUCGGAUUCACUGGGCGUAAAGCGCGCGUAGGCGGCCUGGUAAGUCUGAUGUGAAAGCCCCCGACUCAAUCGGGGAAGUGCAUUGGAUACUGCUAGUGCUAGAGUGCAGGAGAGGAGAACGGAACUCCAGGUGUAGAGGUGACAUUCGUAGAUAUCUGGAGGAAGAACAGAAGCGAAGGCGGUUAUCUGGACUGUUACUGACGCUGAGGCGCGAAAGUGUGGGGAGCAAACAGG
Molecule: ribosomal RNA, 254 nt
Filed under: uncultured bacterium
Lineage: Bacteria
Description: partial 16S ribosomal RNA
Rfam family: Bacterial small subunit ribosomal RNA
Source: RNAcentral